CUUCUGGAGAUUUCCGAAAAAAAAUCUGGAUAAGAAAAGACCCUUGGGAUGAGUGGAUACGUGGAACUUUACUAUUUUUCGUUCCCAACUGGGUUAAUUCGGUUAAGGAAAGAAAGAAGGAGCUUAAGUGGACGAACAAC
Caenorhabditis elegans is the source of this 140-nucleotide non-coding RNA. The record is from Ensembl. Lineage: Eukaryota; Metazoa; Nematoda; Chromadorea; Rhabditida; Rhabditidae.